GACGAACGCUGGCGGCGUGCCUAAUACAUGCAAGUUGAGCGAUGAAGAUUGGUGCUUGCACCAAUUUGAAGAGCAGCGAACGGGUGAGUAACGCGUGGGGAAUCUGCCUUUGAGCGGGGGACAACAUUUGGAAACGAAUGCUAAUACCGCAUAACAACUUUAAACAUAAGUUUUAAGUUUGAAAGAUGCAAUUGCAUCACUCAAAGAUGAUCCCGCGUUGUAUUAGCUAGUUGGUGAGGUAAAGGCUCACCAAGGCGAUGAUACAUAGCCGACCUGAGAGGGUGAUCGGCCACAGUGGGACUGAGACACGGCCCAAACUCCUACGGGAGGCAGCAGUAGGGAAUCUUCGGCAAUGGACGAAAGUCUGACCGAGCAACGCCGCGUGAGUGAAGAAGGUUUUCGGAUCGUAAAACUCUGUUGGUAGAGAAGAACGUUGGUGAGAGUGGAAAGCUCAUCAAGUGACGGUAACUACCCAGAAAGGGACGGCUAGCUACGUG
RNAcentral lists this ribosomal RNA (497 nucleotides) under uncultured bacterium. RNAcentral's name for it is "partial 16S ribosomal RNA". It matches the Rfam family "Bacterial small subunit ribosomal RNA", at positions 28 to 507 of the family's 1533-position model. The record is from RNAcentral.